UUGAAUGGUACGAAUAAUGGCAAAAUGGAUAAAGCUUAAAAAUUAAAGUGCAUUAAAAGUAAAUGACUUGAAAUUAAAUGUUAGUUGUUAGUUGAUUAGAAGUUAGUAUUGCUUUUGCUUUGUUUUUGUUUAAGUCAUUCUUUGGAGAACACUAAACCCACUUGUCACAAGCAUGGAUCCUUAAACCAGGAUAUCUUUCAAAGGAAGGAAAAAA
RNAcentral lists this long non-coding RNA (214 nucleotides) under Lathyrus oleraceus (garden pea). Its description in RNAcentral is "Pisum sativum (pea) long non-coding RNA (PSAT_LNC036237)". Lineage: Eukaryota; Viridiplantae; Streptophyta; Magnoliopsida; Fabales; Fabaceae. The record is from RNAcentral.